Helianthus annuus (common sunflower) is the source of this 847-nucleotide long non-coding RNA. RefSeq lists it as uncharacterized. NCBI's taxonomy places the organism in Eukaryota, Viridiplantae, Streptophyta, Magnoliopsida, Asterales, Asteraceae. The transcript is spliced from 3 exons. The record is from RefSeq and is a predicted model, not a curated record.
UAUAUUGUAUUUAAAGUUUUCAUUAAACUCGGUUGGUAUACGCAGUGUAAGCCCAACCCACCUACCCAAACCCUAACUAUAUAAUCCCUUUUAUCUUUCUUUCCUCCCCUCAUUUGCACCAAACACUUGCCCCAAAUAUUACAGCUUUCUAGACAAACACAAACUUCAGAUUGUUACUCGACAAACACACCCAUUGCAACUUUCUAGAGAGAGAGAGAGAGAGAGAGUCAGGAGAGUGUGAGAGAGGGGGACGACCGACUGCCACCAUGGGCGGUGGAGCUCCGGUGGCGGCGGUUGUUGGCGUUGUUUGGACUGUGAUCGAGCGGCAGAAGAGAAAGACGGGGCAUGGUGUGCGACGGCAGUGGUUUCGUGGCGGCGUGCCGUCUUUCCGACGAAACAACAUCAGCAACGACAUCAAUAUUGGAGGUCAUUUGGACCUCCGAUGACAGCGACGUACGGCUCCGGGGUUCGGGUUCAGAUUGGGGUCCUUAAAUGUUCGGUUUUGGAGGCGACACAAGGUAUUGGGUUUCUACAUGUAUUGUUGAUGGAUCUGUGGAGGAACUCGGCUGUGGACUAACAAGCCCAAGAUUGAGUCUAUCAUAUUGGUCAAUACAAACCUAUCAGACAAGAAACUACUAAGGGGAAGGGCGGCUACAUGGGCAUGCAUUAGCGGCAGAAGAUUUCGUGAAUUAUUGAAUAAAACCGGAAGCUUUAUGAACUCCUUUAAGUUUUUUUUCUGUAAUGUAUGUUUUUAGACUUGGCAUACAUGUUUGUUCUUAAACACAUUCCACAAACAAAGUUUCCUGUGCUAUGCACGCCUUAAAUUUUGUGUGGCCGGCUUAUGGUA